UACGAAGGGGGCUAGCGUUGCUCGGAAUUACUGGGCGUAAAGGGCGCGUAGGCGGAUAGUUUAGUCAGAGGUGAAAGCCCAGGGCUCAACCUUGGAAUUGCCUUUGAGACUGCAUCGCUUGAAUCCAGGAGAGGUGAGUGGAAUUCCGAGUGUAGAGGUGAAAUUCGUAGAUAUUCGGAAGAACACCAGUGGCGAAGGCGGCUCACUGGCCCGGUACUGACGCUGAGGUGCGAAAGCGUGGGGAGCAAACAGG
This 253-nucleotide ribosomal RNA is filed under the name uncultured bacterium. Its description in RNAcentral is "partial 16S ribosomal RNA". It matches the Rfam family "Bacterial small subunit ribosomal RNA", at positions 524 to 776 of the family's 1533-position model. The record is from RNAcentral.